RNAcentral lists this ribosomal RNA (504 nucleotides) under Enterobacter cloacae. RNAcentral's name for it is "bacterial SSU rRNA". It matches the Rfam family "Bacterial small subunit ribosomal RNA", at positions 62 to 557 of the family's 1533-position model. Lineage: Bacteria; Pseudomonadati; Pseudomonadota; Gammaproteobacteria; Enterobacterales; Enterobacteriaceae. The record is from RNAcentral.
UCGAACGGUAGCACAGAGAGCUUGCUCUCGGGUGACGAGUGGCGGACGGGUGAGUAAUGUCUGGGAAACUGCCUGAUGGAGGGGGAUAACUACUGGAAACGGUAGCUAAUACCGCAUAACGUCGCAAGACCAAAGAGGGGGACCUUCGGGCCUCUUGCCAUCAGAUGUGCCCAGAUGGGAUUAGCUAGUAGGUGGGGUAACGGCUCACCUAGGCGACGAUCCCUAGCUGGUCUGAGAGGAUGACCAGCCACACUGGAACUGAGACACGGUCCAGACUCCUACGGGAGGCAGCAGUGGGGAAUAUUGCACAAUGGGCGCAAGCCUGAUGCAGCCAUGCCGCGUGUAUGAAGAAGGCCUUCGGGUUGUAAAGUACUUUCAGCGGGGAGGAAGGUGUUGUGGUUAAUAACCGCAGCAAUUGACGUUACCCGCAGAAGAAGCACCGGCUAACUCCGUGCCAGCAGCCGCGGUAAUACGGAGGGUGCAAGCGUUAAUCGGAAUUACAGG